Molecule: long non-coding RNA, 459 nt
Organism: Papaver somniferum (opium poppy)
Lineage: Eukaryota; Viridiplantae; Streptophyta; Magnoliopsida; Ranunculales; Papaveraceae
Exons: 2
Source: RefSeq, a predicted model, not a curated record
ACUAAGAAAAACUAUCAAUUUGGAAGCAUGUCAAAAAGUUGUAUCAUUUUCUCACCUUUUUUCUUUGGUUUAUUGCUCCUGGUUCUGGUUGCUUUCAUCUCUGAAAAAGGAGGUGUGGAGGUCAACCGAUAUCCUGUAGUCCUGGGAGUGGCAGCUCUUUCGGAUACAGAGUUCAGGGGACUUGUGAAGGUGGUUGCAACACUUAUUGUAAUUCACUUGUGCAUCCGGGUGUGAAAUCGGGGCAGUGCUUUCGGCUUGUCACUCCCGCACCUGUUCCACAGUAUCUUUGCUUGUGUUGUGCCACUUGAUGCGAAAAUUCCUUGUAACGUCCUGAUGACUUGAGUUUUCAUUGUACCAGCACCAUCAUACACAAUAUUCUAUCCCUUUCUCUCACAAAUGUAAUCCCAAGAUAAGCAAUGAAUGAAUGAACACUCCCGGUAUUUAUGUUUAUUUUAUUUU